UACGCUAAAAAGAAUGACGGAGAUUAUCAAACGCUAAAUUGGACAAAGGAAGCAUUUCCUCCUUUUUUAUCCAUUCUUCGACAUUUUCUUCUUUUUCCAAACGACAAUAGAGAAGCGAGAUAAAUUUGGGUUCUAGCGGAUAAAGUAAUCCAACAAAUGACAAUUCAAAGCGAAGAUGGCGAAGGUUUGAGAAAUUGAAAUGAAGAUUUUCAUUUUUAUGGUAAUCUUCGGUGCUAAUGUGUCGUGUAUUUUAGAUUUGGAUGAAUUGCGACAGAGGCUUGCUAAGCUUGACAUAAUUGACUAGACAACACAAGAAAAGGUCUAUUUUUUAUUUUUUAUUUUUUGUUUUACGCUAUCUUUGUAUGAUUCCCAUUAAACGUCUUGUUUUUUGUUAAAGGACGAAGUAAAUGAA
Xenia sp. Carnegie-2017 is the source of this 412-nucleotide long non-coding RNA. RefSeq lists it as uncharacterized. The record is from RefSeq and is a predicted model, not a curated record. The transcript has 2 exons. NCBI's taxonomy places the organism in Eukaryota, Metazoa, Cnidaria, Anthozoa, Malacalcyonacea, Xeniidae.